AAACCCUGUUCUCCGAUAUUGUUCAGGACAUAGUAGCCUGUACUCACUGCCUGUUUACUCAAGCGAAAGGGCUCAGACUGCUUCCUCUAAUGGUUGCAGAGAAGGGCUGAAGCUUUGUCAGCUGAGCCUUUGAGAUCCGGCUGGCUGUGAAUGAAUAAUUAAACUCCUGCCAAUGCAAAGAAUGUUUUGCAAGAUGACUUUUGGCUGGAUGGGAGGAAAUCAAUGGCUUAAUUGGCAGAGAAGAAGAUAUGGGGUCUGCCAUGGCUUGGACAUUUGACCCCUCCAAAUCUCAUGUUGAAAUUUGAUCCCCAGCGUUGGAUGUGGGGCCUAAUGGGAGAAGUCUGGGUCAUAGGAGUGGAUCUCUCAUGAGCAGCUUGGUGUCAUCUUUGAGAAAACCAACCACCAGGACUACCAGAUAGUAUCAAGAAACUGAAACUCACCAGAUCACUGCCUCUGGACCAUGAGAUGUCAGAUCCCUCACCUGUCAUGAUUGCCUAACUUACCACCUGCUUCCUGUUGACCAGCUCCUCUUCCCUACCCUCCUUAGUUCUUGUUUUCCCACACAUCGUUACAUUUCUUCCUUGCUCUAUAAACCUCUUAUUGUAGUCAGUUGGGGAGAUGGAUGUGGGACUGAUCUCCCAUCUCCUUGGCUGCAACACCUGAUUAAAGCCUUCUUUCCUGGCAGUACUCAUUGUCUCAGUGAUUGCCUUUCUGUGUGGUGAGCAGCAGAACAUAGGCCAAAUCCAUGGUAUUUCAGCAACAUUUCCUUCUUGGAACACAGUCCCAUAUCAUAAGGAGUCCAACCCACAUGGAGAGGCCAGGUGGAAGAGAGUGGAGACACUCAGUCUAUGGUCCCAGCUUAACUCCCAGCUAACAGCUAGCAUCAACCACCAGCCAUGUAAGUUCUCCACUGUGGACAUUCAGCUCAGCAAAGGCCCCACCUAGUCGACUAGAGUCCCAGCUGACAUCACAUGCAAAGAGCCACUCAGGUGAACCAAGUCAGCCUAUAGAGUUAGAAAGAAAAUAAAAUGAUUGUUGUUUCUAAGCUGCUAAGUUUUGGGGUGGUUUGUUUUUGUACAAUAUAUGA
Cercocebus atys (sooty mangabey) is the source of this 1087-nucleotide long non-coding RNA. RefSeq lists it as uncharacterized. NCBI's taxonomy places the organism in Eukaryota, Metazoa, Chordata, Mammalia, Primates, Cercopithecidae. The record is from RefSeq and is a predicted model, not a curated record. The transcript is spliced from 3 exons.